GAGGGCGUGGCUCAGUGGCAGAGCGUGUGCCUAGCAUGCACAAGGUCCUGGGUUCAAUCCCCAGCACCUCCA
Molecule: transfer RNA, 72 nt
Organism: Camelus ferus (Wild Bactrian camel)
Lineage: Eukaryota; Metazoa; Chordata; Mammalia; Artiodactyla; Camelidae
Rfam family: tRNA
About the family: Transfer RNA (tRNA) molecules are approximately 80 nucleotides in length. Their secondary structure includes four short double-helical elements and three loops (D, anti-codon, and T loops).
Source: Rfam